This 19816-nucleotide long non-coding RNA is filed under the name Populus tremula. RNAcentral's name for it is "long non-coding RNA (PTRE_LNC001600)". The record is from RNAcentral. Lineage: Eukaryota; Viridiplantae; Streptophyta; Magnoliopsida; Malpighiales; Salicaceae.
GUCAUCAAAAAUACCGUUGGCCUUCGCUGGUUUCCUCACUCAAAACCACCACGAAGAAGCCUUGAGCCUCUGGUUUUUCUCCUACACUUUUGGUACACUCACCUAUGUAACCAAACCCCCUUACUCUCAUUUACUUCAUCAAAUCAUAGCUCCUGAUAUCUUAAUCUCUCCAAAUCCAACUUCAAAGAGUUUCCAACUCGUUGGUUCUAUAUUACAGUAACAGAGAAAAUGAGUUCAGCAAGCAAAGCGUGGUUGGUUGCAGCAGCUGUUGGAGGUGUUGAGGCGUUGAAAGAUCAAGGGUUCUGUAAAUGGAACUACACCUUAAGAUCGCUGCACCAACAUGCCAAGAACCAUGUCAGAUCAGCCUCUCAGGCCAAGAAGCUUUCUUCUUCAUCUUCUGCCAUGAUCUCGAAUAAAGUCAAGGAAGUGAAAGCAAAACAGUCUGAGGAAUCUCUAAAAAAAGUCAUGUAUUUGAUCAGCUGCUGGGGUCCUUACUAAAGCUAAGAAGCAAGAUGAAAUUGAGAAACUUAUCGUGAUAGGAUUACCCUGAUCGUUGCAAGUUGAUGUAAAUAUUUGUAAAUUUUGGUGCUGACUUAAUGGAAUCAAACUAUAUUAUUUUUUCAUUAAUUUUUCCUUGCACCAUUUAUUUUUUCUGUUUUCCCCCUUCUCUUGGUAGCACCUCGUGUCACAAGUGAAAAAGGAUCAUGACAAGGUUCAAGUUUAGUGCAUCACAGCAUUUGCUAAGGAUAUUUAAAUCAAUUGCAAUCUCAAGAUAGAAUCGAAAUUCUAAUUUCGUUACGAAAAUCUAUUUUAAAAAAGCUAGGCCUGCAACUUUGACUGGUUUUUUAAUGACAUCCAUGGAUUAAGAAAUAAUUAUUGGAUUAAAACCUUACCCCGUUUUUGGAGCCAAAUGGAAGUUAUAUAUAUAUAUAUAUAUAUAUAUAUAUAUAUAUAUAUAUAUAAUCUGUUAAAUGAAGAUCAACAGGGCUUCUUUACUUCAAUGUCAGAACUUUUGAGCAUUCAAGAAACUUGGAAUGUUGCAAAAUGGUUGAACUUGACAGAAAAGAAAUAUUUUUUUUUGAAGUGAAUAAUGUUUAGUAACGUAAUGAGAAUCCAUUUGAUCACUGCUCAAGUCGUUUAUGCAUCAAAAUUUUGCUUGAUGACAUGUCUGGAUAAGGAGAGCUUGAGAGUUGAGAACUUGGUAUUUUGUGACACACGCAAUGGAUCUACAAUUAUUGUCUGUCCUUUACUCAAGCCCCACUCCUGAAGAAAAACAGGAGGAUUUGCCUCCUAUACUUGAGGCUCACCUCGGAGUUUUAUAAAGCAAACCGUGUGCCUCUUUAUCAAAACAAGGCCCCGCUCUAGCAACAUGAUAAGAUGCAUGAAAAAGAAAUGUAUUUAAUGCCACCAAGUGGUCCUUGAUGGACAUAAAGAUUCAGUCCCAUCAUAGCUGGUGGUUUGGCUCCCUUAAGCUAAAACCACCAGCUACAGCUUGUUCCUAGCUUCCGGUUUCCUUCAAAUUUCUGGCACCUAGUCCGCUACUCUCUUUAUAAGCAAAUCCCAGUUUGCCAUUUACACCAUCGACACGAAUUCUCAAUUACAUCUCAUCCUUUUCAACUAAAAAUCUCACAUCAACGAGUUUCCAACUAUUGUUCUAUUUUAUAUUACAGAGAAAAUGAGUUCAGCAAGUAAAGCUUGGUUGGUAGCUGCUGCUAUUGGAGGUGUUGAGGCCUUGAAAGACCAAGGCUUCUGUAGGUGGAACUACACAUUGAGAUCGCUACACCAACAUGCCAAGAACCAUGUCGGGUCAAUUUCUCAGGCUAAUAAGAAGCUCCCUUAUUCAUCUUCUGCCAUUAUUUCAAAUAAAUUCAAGGAAGAGAAGAUGAAACAGUCAGAGGAGUCUCUAAGAAAAGUCAUGUAUUUGAGUUGUUGGGGUCCUAACUGAUACUCUCAAGAAAAAGGAAAUUCUGAGGAAAUCAGUUCAUAGGAUUAGAGUAAAUUUUUGCAAGUUGAUUUAAACUGUAAAUGCUUGUGCUGACAAUCAAAUAUAUCUCAUUUUAUUGGCAAAAUUUUGGGAAAAUGGCCUUAAAGUAACAUUAACAAAGGAUAUGGCUCAUGUUAAAAAAAACACCAGCAACUCAAUUGGAGGAGGAGUUGUAUCACAGAAGCUAAAUAUCUUGAUAAGUUGAUAAAUUAGGACAAAUCUUAAACUGGAAUUCUCAAUUUCAGUUUGGCCCAGAAGAAAAUUAGUUUAGGAAUAUUUCUUUACUCACAAGUGUUCACGGCAGGGUGAUGAUCACUGUAUGUGAAAUGAAAACGCUGUGUUUGUUUUCCGGAAAGUGGUUUCCGGGAAAGCACUUUCCAAACUUUCUCGUGUUUGUUUGCCAGUAGGAAAGUUGGUCAAUGGAAAACACUUUCCAGUAAAAGGAAAAUUUGGCUUGGUUUUCAGGAAAGUGUUUUCCUGAAAAAUUUGAGGGGAAAACACUUUCCAGAAGUUGUGAAAAUUUUAGAAAUGUCAUUAUUUGCUGAUUAUAUCAAAUUUGAUCCUCAAACUUUUGAUUGCUAUAUAUAUUUUGUUUUGAAUAUUUAUUUUUCAAUUUCAUCUCUUAAAAUUUUAUUUUUAUAUUAACUUUGGUCCUUAUUUUUAUAAUUGUUAUUUGCUUUUUUCUUACCAUUUUUUUAUUGAAAUUUUUUAUUUAUCAAAUUUGAUCCUCAUUCUUUUUGAUUGUUACUUAUUUUAUUUGAAAUAAUUUAUGAAAUGUUGAUUAUUAUUAUUUUAAUUUCUUCAUUUUUCAUUUUUUUUUAUUUUUUUAGAUUUGAUCCCUAUUAUUUUGAUUAUUAUUUGUUUUAUUUGAGAUAAUUUAUGAAAUUAUAUUUUUUUUUUUCAAUUUCAUUCUCAUUCAACUUUUUAAUUUGUAAGAUUUGUUCCUCAUUAUUUUAAUAAACUUGAGAAAAAUAAAAUAUUAAUAAGUUAUUUUCCAGCUCAUUUUUCAUGACAUAACUAAACACUGGAAAGUGUUUUCCAGUUCAUUUUCCAUAACACUACCAAACAUCGGAAAAUACUUUCCCGGAAUUCACUUUCCAGGAAUUCACUUUCCUCGGAAUUCACUUUCCAAAAGAAAUUCACUUUCCUGCAAACAAACGGAGCCUUAAAUUACAAAAGAAUUGUAUAAAUAAUUAACCCGAAGAAUUUUUGAAUAAUUAUAUGAUGAAUUUAUGAAAAACUUUCACACAGAAAUUGGGUUUUUAAAGACAACAAUUAUAGAUGAGAGAUGUGUGUGGGGGUCUAAAUAUGGGAUUAGCCUUAAAAAAUAUCGAUCUUGGGACGUGAAGAAUAUUUUCAAACCAAUUGAUUUGGUGAAAACUUUGGUGUUAUCAUUGAUGUUGGCAAAACGUUAUCUAGAAAAAGCUAUUGGUAUAGAAAAUAUAUACUUGAUUUUCAUAGACAUGUGAUUAUUGGCUUGAUGUUUGGAUCACGACCCCAACAAUAACAAGGAGGCGAAGGUUUAUUGCCAUUUGGGUCAACAAAAACAAUUUUGUUCUGGUAAAAAUGUAUGCCAUCAUUUUCCUCUCAUGUUUUUUAAACAAAUAUGCUCGAAAGACAUGAAAAGAAAAGAAAAAAUUAGAAAAAGAAAACUUGUUUUGUAUAGAGUUUACAAGUGUAGAUAGUUUUUGUUAAAUUUUUGCAAGAAAGAGCAAAGUUUAAUUAUCUUGCUUAGAGGUAGUUUAGUUAAAAAAAAGAGUGGAAAAGUAAGCAAUAUGAUAUCUGAAUGAGUGUACAAGUUCAAGACGCCUUACAUGAGAAGUCCAAAUUUAAUUAUCAUGUUUUGGAGACAGGUAGUCAAAAAGACUUGAAGAAAGAUUUGUGAUUUUUUUUAUAGACAAGUGGUUACAGAAUAAUGAAAAAGGAUAUCUUAUACUUUAGAAAAUAUAUGAUCAUAGUGUUUUGGAGACAUUUAUGAAGAUUCAAUUAAGACAUGAAGAUUUUAGUAUGAAAAAUUAAAGAAGCUAGAGUUUAUUUUCAAUAUAAGUUAUAUAUUUAUUACACUGAAUAGGCUAAUUUGUUUGUUUUGUUUAUUGUAAUUUCAUGCUUGCAAGAGUUAUUUUUCAAUGCUAUUGUGUAAUCUUUUAUAUAUAUAUAUAUAUUCAAUUACUAUCUUUGCUUAUUUUUUUAUUGUCUAAUUAAAAUAAAACUAACUUAUUAAAUUUAAAUGAGGCUAUAACCUGAGUUAUUUGUUUUUUUUUAUUUCUUUUAAAUAUGCUUGUGACACCUAGAUUAUAGUUGUCUUUUUUUAUUUUUUAUUUUUUAUUUUAAUUGAUACCUUUUUAAAAAAAUAUUUUUUUUUAAUUUAUAUUUGCAUUAAUAUCUCUUCUCAAUUAUUUUUUAUUUUUAAUUGAUUUUUCCUUCAAUUUCAUCCAUAUCCUUUGGUUUAAUUUGAUUUUUAAAUCAAACUUAUUUCUUAUUCUUUUGAUAUUUUUAAACCUUUUAUAAAUUGAUUUUUUUUCAAUUACAUUCCUUGGCAUUUAAUUUCAAUUUAUUUUUCUAUUAAAUUUGGUUCCCGUUAUUUGUUUUUCUUCUUGUCUUUUAUGGGGUUAGUCUCAUCCUCAUUACAAGGGUCACAAGUUUCGAAGGUUAACAUUGGUUGACUUUGAUUUUUUUAAGUUUUUUUAUCAAAUUGAUUUAUUUUUAAUUUUAUCCUAUAAUAUUUAAUUUUUUUUAAUUAGUUUUUUUUUAUCUUUUUUUAUAUGGAGUUAUCUCAAUCCUAUACCCAUAGUCUUAGAGUUAGUGGCUUAAUCCAAGUUAACUCGGAUUUGUUUUCAUAUAUAAAUAUAAUUUUCUUAAUUCCAUUGCUAAAGAUCUUUUUAUUGAGAAUUUUGCUUCGUUGUUUUUUUUGUUUGCCUUCCAAUGCAGUCGGUCUCAGUCUCAUGACCACGGUUGUGGAUUUUAAAAGUUAAUAUUUGUUAAUUUUGAUUUGUUUAGGUUUUUUUUUUUUUCAAUUUCAUCAUUCAACAUUUAAAUUUUUAGGAUUGAUCUUCAUGCUUUUUUUUUAUUCACUUUCUUUUUUAUGGGGCUAUCUCAAUCUAAUGCCCAAAAUCGUGAAGUUAGUGAGUUAACCUAGCAGAGACAAGUUUGAUAUUAGAAUAAAUGGAUUUAAAUAAUAUUUUAUUUUUAACUUUUUCGUAUUAAAAUGAUUUGAAUAUAUAUAUAUAUAUAUAUAUAUAUAUAUUUUAAAAGCAAAAACAAACUAGGUAUAAUAAUAAAAACUUAAUUUAUCUCCAUUUUUUUAAUGACCAAGUUGUAUUCCAAUAAUUGAAGGGGAAAUAGAGACCACUUGUCUUCUAAAAAAUACCGUUGGCCUUCGCUGGUUUCCUCACUCAAAACCACCACCAAGAAGCCUUUAGCCUCUGGUUUUUCUCCUACAAUUUUGGUACACUCACCUAUAUAACCAAACCCCUUUACUCCCAUUUCCUUCAUCAAAUCAUUGCUCCUGAUAUCUUAAUCUCUUCAAAUCCCACUUCAAAGAGUUUCCAACUCGUUGGUUCUAUAUUACAGUAACAUGAAAAAUGAGUUCAGCGAGUAAAGCUUGGUUGGUUGCAGCAGCUGUUGGAGGUGUCGAGGCCUUGAAAGACCAAGGGUUCUGUAGGUGGAGCUACACCUUGAGAUCCCUUCACCAACAUGCCAAGAACCAUGUCAGAUCAGCCUCUCAGGCCAAGAAGCUUUCUUCUUCAUCCUCUGCCAUGAUCUCGAAUAAAAUCAAGGAAGUGACAGCAAAACAGUCGGAGGAAUCUCUAAGAAAAGUCAUGUAUUUGAGCUGUUGGGGUCCUUCCUAAAGCUAAGAAGCAAGAUGGAAUUGAGAAAAUUAUCGUGAUAGGAUUACCCUGAUCGUUGCAAGUUGAUGUAAAUAUUUGUAAAUUUUGGUACUGACUUAAUGGAAUCAAACUAUAUUAUUUCUUGAUUAAUUUUUCCUUGCACCAUUUAUUUUUUUCUGUUUUCCCACUUCUUUUGGAAAGGAUCAUGAAAAGGUUCAAUUUUAGUGCAUCACAGCAUUUGCUAAGGAUAUUUGAAUCAAUUGCAAUCUCAAGAUAGAAUCUAAAUUCUAAUUUGGUUAAGAAAAUCUAUUAAAACAAAAUCCAGGUCUAACUUUGACUGGUUUUUUAAUGACAUAUAUAUUAUCUGUUAAAUGAAGAUCAAUAGGGCUUAUUUAUUUAAAUGUCAGAACUUUUGAACUUUCAAGAAAAUUGGAAUGUGGCAAAAUGGUUGAACCUGACAAAAAAAAAAAGUAUUUUCUUGAAUAUCUGAAAAAUGAAUUAGCUCGUAAGAAAUAAUUAUUUUGAAGUGAAUAGUGUUUCGUAACAUUAGAGAAUCCACUUGCUCACUGCUCAGGUCGUUUAUGCGUCAAAAUUUUGCUGGAUGCCAAGUCUUUAGAACGCUCGAUUAAGGAGAGCUUGAGAGUUCAGAACUUUGUAUUUUGUGACGCAUGCAAUGGAUCUACAAGACUACAAGUAUUGUCUGUCCUUUACUCAAGCCCCACUGCUGAAGAAAAACAAGUGGAUUUGCCUCCUAUACUUGAGGCUCACUUCGGAUUUUUAUAAAGCAAACCGUGUGCUCUUUACCAAAACAUGGCCCCGCUCUAGCAACAUGAUAAGAUGCAUGAAAAAGAAAUGUAUUUAUAAUUCCACCAAGUGGUCCUUGAUAGACAUAAAGAUUCAGUCCCAUCAUAGCAUAACCACGAUAAAAUAAUACCACUGGCUCCCUUAAACCAAAACCAGCAACCACAGCUUGCUCCUUGCUUCCGGUUUCCUCCCAAUUUCUGGCAAUUAGUUCCCAACUCUCUUUAUAAGCAAAUCCCAGUUUGCCAUUUACACCAUCGACACGGAUUCUGAAUCACAUCUCAUCGUUUUCAACUAAAAAUCCCACAUCAAAGAGUUUCCAACUAUUGUUCUAUUUUAUAUUACAGAGAAAAUGAGUUCAGCAAGUAAAGCUUGGUUGGUAGCUGCUGCUAUUGGAGGUGUUGAGGCCUUAAAAGACCAAGGCUUCUGUAGGUGGAACUACACAUUGAGAUCGCUACGCCAGCAUGCCAAGAACCAUGUCGGGUCAAUUUCUCAGGCUAAUAAGAAGCUCCCUUGUUCAUCUUCUGCCAUUAUUUCAAAUAAAUUCAAGGAAGAGAAGGCGAAACAGUCAGAGGAGUCUCUAAGAAAAGUCAUGUAUUUGAGUUGCUGGGGUCAAAACUGAUACUCUCAAGAAAGAAGAAAUUCUGAGGAAAUCAGUUCAUAGGAUUAGAGUAAAUUUUUGCAAGUUGAUUUAAACUGUAAAUGCUUGUGCUGAUUGCCAAUCAAAUAUAUCUCAUUUUAUUGGCAAAAUUUUGGGAAAAUGGCCUUAAAGUAACAUUAACAAAGGAUAUGGCUCAUGUUAAAAAAAAAACCAGCAACUCAAUUGGAGGAGGAGUUGAUAAAUUAGGACAAAUCUUAAACUGGAAUUCUCAAUUUCAAUUUGGCCCAGAAGAAAAUUAGUUUAGGAAUAUUUCUUUACUCACAAGUGUUCACGGCAGGGUGAUGAUCACUGUAUGUGAAAUUAAACAGGCCUUUAAAUUACAAAAGAAUUGUAUAAAUAAUUAACCCGAAGAAUUUGUGAAUAAUUAUCUGAUGAAUUUAUGAAAAACUUUCACACAGAAAUUGGGUUUUUAAAGACAACAAUUAUAGAUGAGAGAUGUAUGGGGGUCUAAAUAUGGGAUUAGCCUUAAAAAAUAUCGAUCUUGGGACGUGAAGAAUUUCAAACCAAUUGAUUUGGUGAAAACUUUGGUGUUAUCAUUGAUGUUAGCAAAACGUUAUCUAGAAAAAGCUAUUGGUAUAGAAAAUAUAUACUUGAUUUUCAUAGACGUGUGAUUAUUGGCUUGAUGUUUGGAUCACGACCCCAACAAUAACAAGAAGGCGAAGGUUUAUUGCCAUUUGGGCCAACAAAAACAAUUUUGUUCUGGUAAAAAUGUAUGCCAUCAUUUUCCUCUCAUGUUUUUUAAACAAAUAUGCUCGAAAGACAUGAAAAGAAAAGAAAAAAAUUAGAAAAAGAAAACUUGUUUUGUAUAGAGUUUACAAGUGUAGAUAGUUUUUGUUAAAAGUUUUUGCAAGAAAGAACAAAGUUUAAUUAUCUUGCUUAGAGGUAGUUUAGUAAAAAAAAAGAGUGGAAAAGUAAGCAAUAUGAUAUCUGAAUGAGUGUACAAGUUCAAGACGCCUUACAUGAGAAGUCCAAGUUUAAUUAUCAUGUUUUGGAGACAGGUAGUCAAAAAGACUUGAAGAAAGAUUUGUGAUUUUUUUUAUAGAUUUGUGAUUUUUUUUAUAGACAAGUGGUUAUAGAAUAAUGAAAAAGGAUAUCUUAUACUUUAAAAAAUAUAUGAUCAUGGUGUUUUGGAGACAUUUAUGAAGAUUCAAUUAAGACAUGAAGAUUCUAGUGUGAAAAAUUAAAGAAGCUAGAGUUUAUUUUCAAUAUAAGUUAUAUAUUUAUUACACUGAAUAGGCUAAUUUGUUUUUUUUGUUUAUUGUAAUUUCAUGCUUGCAAGAGUUAUUUUUCAAUGUUAUUGUGUAAUAUAUAUAUAUAUAUAUAUUCAAUUACUAUCUUUGUCUAUUUUUUUAUUGUCUAUUUAAAAUAAAACUAACUUAUUAAAUUUAAAUGAGGCUAUAACCUGAGUUAUUUGUUUUUUUUAUUUCUUUUAAAUGUGCUUGUGACACCUAGAUUAUAGUUGUCUUUUUUUUAUUUUUUUAUUUUAUUUUUUAUUUUAAUUGAUACCUUUUUUAAAAAAUAUAUAUAUUUUUUAAUUUAUAUUUGCAUUAAUAUCUCUUCUCAAUUAUUUUUUAUUUUUAAUUGAUUUUUCCUUCAAUUUCAUCCAUAUCCUUUGGUUUAAUUUGAUUUUCAAAUCAAACUUAUUCCUUAUUCUUUUGAUAUUUUUAAACUUUUUUAUAAAUUGAUUUUUUUUCAAUUACAUUCCUUGGCAUUUAAUUUCAAUUGAUUUUUCUAUUAAAUUUGGUUCCCGUUAUUUGUUUUUCUUCUUGUCUUCUAUGGGGUUAGUCUCAUCCUCAUUACAAGGGUCACGAGUUUCGAAGGUUAACAUUGGUUAACUUCAAUUUUUUUAGGUUCUUUUAUCAAAUUGAUUUAUUUUUAAUUUUAUCCUUUAAUAUUUGAUUUUUUUAAUUAAUUUUUUUUAUCUUUCUUUAUAUGGGGUUAUCUCAAUUCUAUGCCCAUAGUCUUAGAGUUAGUGCCUUAAUCCAAGUUAAAUCAUAUAUACAUAUAAUUUUCUUAGUUCCAUUGCUAAGGAUCUUUUUGUUGAGAAUUUUGCUUCAUUGUUUUUUUUUGUUUGCCUUCCAUGCAGUCGGUCUUAGUCUCAUAACCACGGUUAUGGAUUUUAAAAGUUAACAUUUGUUAAUUUUGAUUUGUUUAGGUUUUUUUUAAAAUUGAUUUUUUUUUAAUUUUAUCAUUCAACAUUUAAAUUUUUGGGAUUGAUCUUCAUACUUUUUUUUUUCACUUUUCAUUUCAUGGAGCUAUCUCAAUCUAAUGCCCAAAAUUGUGAAGUUAGUGAGUUAAUCUAGAUUGACCAAAAUCUUUUUUUAUUGAUUUUUUUAAAAUAUUUAUUUUUAGUUGUCACUCAAUAUUAGAUUGUUUGAGUUUCAUAUUUUUUUCAAUUUGUUUUUGUUAACAAUUCUUUGUAUUGUUUAUUGGCACGAAUAAUCUUUUAAUUAAACAAAAAGUUUAUUCUAUAAAACAAAGUUAUUGAACAUAAGUAAGUAGAUAACAUGGGUUGCAUGAUCAAAUAUUUUAAUCUUAAUAAGUCAUUGAUUAAAUAUUAAUUUAUUUAAUUAAAUAUAUGUAUAAAUAUUUUAAUAUAUGAUUGAGAAUUUUUUAUAUAAAAAACAUGAAGAAAAACUUAUUUAUUCUUUAUUUUUUUAUUAAAAAAUUAAGAUAUAUAAUCCUCUACGAAGCGCUGUUGAAAUAGUUUAUUGUAGUUUUCUAGACCAUCACAAUUGUUUACAGACAGUCCUCACUAUUACUUCAAUUGUCUUCAAAAACAGUCUUGCCCAAAACAAAACAUUGAUUGAUAAGUGACAAACCCCAUUUGUUUAAUGCGUGUGACUCAGAGCAGAGACAAGUUUGAUAUUAGAAUAAAUGGAUUUAAAUAAUAUUUUAUUAUUUUUUAAAAAAAUAUUUUUAACUUUUUCAUAUUAAAAUGAUUUAAAAAUAAUAAUAAAAAAUAUAUUUUUUUUUAAAGCAAAAACAAACUAGGUAUAAUAAAAAAACUUAAUUUAUCUCCAUUUUUUUAAUGACCAAGUUGUAUUCCAAUAAUUGAAGGGGAAAUAGAGACCACUUGUCUUGUAAAAAAUACCGUUGGCCUUUGCUGGUUUCCUCACUCAAAACCACGACGAAGAAGCCUUGAGCCUCUUGUUUUUCUCCCACACUUUUGGUACACUCACCUAUAUAACCAAACCCCUUUACUCCCAUUUACUUCAUCAAAUCAUAGCUCCUGAUAUCUUAAUCUCUCCAAAUCCCACUUCAAAGAGUUUCCAACUUGUUGGUUCUAUAUCACAGUAACAGAGAAAAUGAGUUCAGCAAGCAAAGCUUGGUUGGUUGCAGCAGCUGUUGGAGGUGUUGAGGCGUUGAAAGACCAAGGGUUCUGUAGGUGGAACUACACCUUGAGAUCCCUGCACCAACAUGCCAAGAACCAUGUCAGAUCAGCCUCUCAGGCCAAGAAGCUUUCUUCUUCAUCCUCUGCCAUGAUCUCGAAUAAAGUCAAGGAAGUGAGAGCAAAACAGUCUGAGGAAUCUCUAAGAAAAGUCAUGUAUUUGAGCUGUUGGGGCCCUUACUAAGCAAAGAAGCCACAUGAAAUUGAGGAAAUUAUCGUGAUAGGAUUAGCCUGAUUGUUGCCAGUUGAUGUAAAUUGAUUUUUAAAUAUUGUUGCUGACUUCAUGGAAUCAAACCAUAUUAUUUUUGGAUUAGUUUUUCCUUGCACCAUUUAUUUUAUAGUUUCUGUUUUCCCAUUUCUUUUCUCAGGCCCUCAUGUCGCAAAGUGAAAAGGAUCAUGACAAGGUUAAUUUUAGUGCACCACAGCUUAAAAAAAAAUUGAGGGGCAUUUGUAUUCAAAGAUAUUUGCAUCAAUCGGAAUCUCACUACAAUCUAAAUUAUAAUUUGGUAAAAAUAAAAAUUCAAUUCAAGAAAAAUUAGAUUCGAUUUAGAACUUAUACUGGUUUUUCAAAGACAUAAAUGGAUUAAGAAAUAAUUAUUGGACUUAUCCCCUUUUUGGAGCCGAAAGGAAGUUCAUUAGUCUUUUGGUUUUUUGCAUAAAUGAAGAUGAAUAGGGAUUAUUUUCUUCAAUGUCAAAACUUGUGAAAUUUCAAGAAACUUGGGAAUGCUGCAAAAUGGUUGAACUGGCACAAAAAAAUUAGUAUUUUCUUGAAUCUCUGACAGAUGAAUUAGAUCGCAAGAAAUACUUUUUUUUGAAGUGAAUAAUGUUUCGUAACGUAAGAGAAUCAUUUCUCUACUACUCGUAAAAACAUAAAUUAUUUGGAUUCUUUUUUUUAAGGUUUAGCUAUAUCUAUUGGUGUAAAUAUUAUAAUAACUUUUUUUAUGUAAAAUUAGCAGUUUGUUUUAUAAAACAUUUAGCAAAAUAAUAUCAUUUAAAAAAGAUUUGAUUAAAUAACAUGUUUUUAUCAUAUCAUGCCAAAUAUGAUAUUUAUUAAAUGUUGUUAUUUGUAGAAGUAACAAAUUGAAACUCCAAUCAUCUAGCUCAACAGGUUAAUUAAUUGAAUUAAGUUAUAGUAGUUAUAUAAACUGAUCGAUGUUUUCAUAUAAAAAUGAUAAUUUAAUGAAUUUUAUUAAAAUAUUUUUUAUGAAUCAAAAUAUAUAUCUUUUUUCAACUUAUAUACAAAAAAAUAGAUUUUAAUUAAAAUCUUAAAAUAUUAUUAUUCACAUAGUGAUUGUCCUUUGUUUUUCAUUGUCAAUGAUGUAGCUAUAUUUGCAAUAACUGGUAAUUCUAAAUAAUCAGAUGCAACUCUGCUGUAACUAAAUGAGAUUUGGCCCAAACAUAUUAUUUGGAUAGCUUUGCAUUUGUGAACUAAUAGGACAUGUAUAAACUUAGAAAGAAGGUCUAAUUAUACCAUAACAAAAUAAUGCUUAAAAGAACCAUAACUUUUGAUUAGACACUUAAAUUCUUUACAUGAGUUUUCAGAGGAAGUUUUUUCUAUUGUAGCUACUGUAUCGCUAUAUGAACCGUUAGAUUUUUAAAUAUAAAAAAUCUAGUUGAGUCACUUUGAUUUUAAUAACUUUGAGAUUUUUUUUGUUAUUUUUCGAAUCGAUCAACUGGUUUCACUGACCAUUAUGAAUCGGUUGAGCCAGAUAAUUGAAAUUUCACCUUGUCAUGUUUUAAAAGUGUGAUAUUUAUUAAAUGUCGCUAUUAUUUUAAUUUUUUUAAAAAUAAUAAUAUUUAAUAAAUAUUAUAUUUUUAAAGCACAAUAAAAUCAAAAUAUGCCAUUUCAUAAAAAAAAAAAUCUUCUCUGUUAAUUUGCCAAUUGUUUUGAUUUUAUUCACUAAUUUCCUAAUUUAUCCCUUUUUUUCCGUAACACAGCUAGCUAUAAUGUGCGGGUUCUUCAUUUAUUUAUUUUUCUCAACUGUGAUACAUAACAAUUAAUUUUUUUUCCACGUUUGUUAUUUUGGAAAAAAAAAAAUCGUAUCUUGUGACACAUGCAAUGGAUCUACAAUUAUUAUUGUCUUCAGGAGGUAAUCCUGUCCGUUCCCUGUUUUUGAGUAGAUGCCUAGACAAAUGCUAAAAUGCUAUCCUUCCAGCCCCACUACUAAAGAAAAACAAGUGGAUUUGCCUCCAAUACUUGAGGCUCAAUUUUGAUUUUUAUAAAGCAAACCGUGUGCCUCUUACCAAAAACAAGUCCCCACUCCAGCUUUGUCGUAAUUGAAUAUGAUAAGAUGCAUGAAAAAGAAAUCCCCCAUUUUUUCUCCAUUUGUAUUUAAUGCCACCAAGUGGUCCUUGAUGGACAUAAAGAUUCAGUCCCAUCCUAGCCUAACUGCACUAAAAUAAUACCACUGGCUUUAACUUGUGCCAAAACCACCAGCCACAGCUUAUCCCUGGCUUCCGGUUUCCUCCAAUUUUCGGGUCCUCUAGUCCCCUCCUCUCUAUAUAAGCAAUCCCCAGCUUGUCAUCUCCACCAUCAAACACCAUUUCCCUUCUCAAUUACAUCUCAACUUUUUCAAAACGUUGUCCAUCUUCUAGCUCUUCAGUUCAAUCGAAAGAAAUAGAAAAAUGAGUUCAACAAGCAAAGCUUGGGCUGUUGCCACUAGUAUUGCAGCUGUGGAGGCUUUGAAAGAUCAAGGAUUUUGCAGAUGGAACUACACAAUAAGAUCACUAUACCAACAUGCCAAGAACCAAGGCAAGUCAUCCUCUCUGCCCAAGAAGCUCUCUUCUCCAGCUUCUACUGUGGUUGCCGGUAAAGUAAGAGAGAAUCAGAAAGCAAGGCAAUCCGACGAGUCACUGAGGCAGGUCAUGUACUUGAGUUGCUGGGGUCCUUACUAGCCAGGCAGUGAACUACCAGCAAGGAACUAUGGCCAUGCAUGCACUGGUUGCAGCAUAGAGACAAUCGAAGUCUUUCCAAGAGAGACUUAUUUGGAGAAACAUGACAAGGCCGACUUCUUAUGACGAUGGACGCUGGAACCCAUCAACGAUUAGUCAGCUUCAUUUGAAUGUUAUGCUCUAGCAAUAUAUGUUUCAAUCAAUUGUAGCCCAAUGAAUUGCUGAAUGAUGGGAGCAAAUUCUUUCCAUUGCUGCAACAACUUGCAAGUGAUGUAAAUUGUAAUUUUUCAGAAUGUAACGGCAUUUAAAUUAAGACUCAAUUGAAUCAGUAAGCUAAUUACAUGAGUGGAUUAAAGUCUUGUUCUCUGCUUUUAGCCCAUAGGGAAUAAUUACUACAACGUCAAAACCUGUGUGCCUUCAUGAAACUUGGACUGUGGCAGAGUGGAUGAACCUCACACGACACUUUCUACUAUAAGUUUAUAUAUUGGGAUUAGGCUGCAGUCAAGUCUUGAGUAACAAAAAUUAAACCGGGUGGGGUUUUUUAUUGUGGCAGUGUGCGACAUCGCGGCGAAAAAUAUAAGUGUUUUUCAUUUUAAAUCGACAAUGUAAAUCUAUAUCUAUUUUAAAUCUACAAUGUAAAUCUAUAUCUAUUUGGCAAAUGGAGAGACAAGAAAUUCUUGUUUUUUGUUGGUGGAAAAUGGAAUGGGAGUCGUCACCUAGUAUUUUGGUCACUAGAAAUUUUAACUGGUCUCAGAGAUCGGGCACGGGGACUGGUUGCGUAAAGAGAAGGUAUUAGCACCCCAAAUACGCCUUACCUAAGAUAAGCUGCAUUAUUUUAUUGUCUGAUAAAAUCUAAGGUCUUUUCGUGUUUUCCUAGUUGUUGGUAUAGUUCAAGAAAAGUCCUCCUCGGUAAGGAGAUCCUUAUCUUAAUGGGUAAUUCUGACGUUAACAAAAGAAUUUAAUAUUCAGAAUAUGUCUUACGUAUAAGAUCGUAACCCCAAAUACUAAGUCCUCCUCGGUAAGGAGAUCCUUAUCUUAAUGGGUAAUUCUGACGUUAACAAAAGAAUUUAAUAUUUGGAAUACGUCUUACGUAUAAGAUCGUAACCCCAAAUACUAAAAGAAAACACAAUAAUUUUUUUGGAAGUUUUGAAAUAUUGGUCUAGUUCUCAUGGCUUGAAUAAACUGGUUAUUAAAGCCAACAUGCAUGUUAAUACAUAUAUUGUUUUGAAGUUUCCUUUGUUGCGUGAAAAUACGAUGUUAUAAUAUUUAUAUAUAUAUAUUGGAGAGACUAGGCCGUAUGCAUUAAAACAAAAACAUUUUUUUUAUAUAUAUAUUUUUGAUGUUUUGACGAAAACCGGGUAUUUUAAUACUUGAUUUGUAUCUUUACGGUAUAAAAAUACAAACCAAUAUUAAACCAUUUUGACAAAAAAAUAUGCAGGAAAAUCAUAGGAUUUUUUAUAAUAUAUUUUUUUGAAAGCAAAACAUUUUUUAUUUUAAAAUUUUUUGAUGUUUUGACGGAAACCGAGUAUUUUAAUACUAGAUUUGUAUCUUUACAGUAUAAAAAUACAAACCAAUAUUAAACCAUUUUGACAAAAAUAUGCAGGAAAAUAAACAAUAUUUUUUUCAAAUAUUUUUUAGAAUAUUUCUUUUUAUUUUAUACACACACAUAAUAUAAAACAAUAUAAUAUAUAAUAUAAUAUAUAAUAUAAUAUAUAAUAUAAUAUAUUAUGUGGGCUGGGCCGACCCAAAUAAAUGGGCCAGGCUCAGCCCAGCAUGGAUUGGGCCAAUCUCGGCCCAUUCAAUCUCUCAUUUUUGUCUGGGCCAGACUGGCCCAGAAUCAAUCUGGCCCAGCGCAAGAAACCCAUCGAGAGGGGAAUUAUUUUUCCCCUCCUAUCAAUUCUACAUGCAGGAGGAAAACGCCACGAGAAAAAAAUGCAGGGAGAAGACUUUACCUGGCGUGGAGGAGGUGGUCGUUGGUGGUGCUGCGAUGGAGGCCGGUGGCGGUGUCGUGGCUCACGGACGGCGGCUCCAAGCGGCGGUGCUGCUGUUUCAAACGGCGGAGGGUGAGGAUACUGCUCUUCCUUUCUCCUCCGUAUGGCUUCCUCUUCUUUCGUUUUUGGUGGUUUCCUCAGUUCGGGUUUGCUAGUUGUUCUUUUUGGUUCGGUUCUUUCCCUCCUUUUCCUAUGUUUUCUCUUUUUUUUUCUUUCGGUUUGUUCCUUCUCUUCCCUCUCUACUGAUCGUUCUCUCUCUUCGGGUUUUCUCCUUUCUUUCCCCUCUCUCUAUUCGAGCCUCUCUUUUCGUUUUCUUUUUUUUCCUCUUUUUUCCUCCCCCUCGCGUGCUGGCGUCCAGUCUUCAUUUAUAUGGGGCAAGGGAGCGGGGGCGUCGCUAUUGCCACCCUAUGGCAGCGCACGGGGAGCAGGGCUUUGCUGCCCUGCCACAGCGCCGGGCUGGCUGGCCAGUGGGCGUGGCUGGUAGGGCGCGGCUCCCUCGACUUUUCAUCAUGAGAGCGCAUGGGGGGGCGGUUUUGGCAGAUGUGGCAUGUCGGGUUCAACGACGAAAGAAGAAAAAAUUGCCUUCCCCUGCUGCACGUCCAGGGGAAGAGAUAGGGAACAGUGUCGUUCAAAACGACACUAUUCUGUUUUUUUUUUUUUUAACAUGAAACGGCGCCAUUUUAGACAAAACGCGCCGUUUCAUUUAAAUCAAAAAGGGGCGCCGAAAGGCGUCAUUGUCCAAGUCAGUCCUUAAUUAUAUUUUGUUCAUUUCAAUUGCAUCCCUUCCAAUUUCGGUCGCCACCCCUAUAUUUGUCCGCGUUUUUCACUUCAAUCCUUGGCCUCUGAUUUAUGCAAUUUGACCCUCAAUUAAUCAAUAAACUUCCAAUUUCUUCAAUUUAGCCCAUGAUUUUGUUAAUUACAACCCCUAUAUUUACACGCCUUUUCCAAUUUGGUCCUUGGUUUCGGAUAUUCUCAAUUCAGUCCCUAAUUGGCCAUUAAAGUUCAAUAUUUAUGCAAUUAAGCCCUUGAUUUGACCAAAUCAAUUCCUAAAAAUUAUAAUUUGACCCCAGAACUUUAAUUUCUUCCAAUUAAAGCCCAAAUUGACAUAAAAAUCAAUUUUUCUUGCAAUCAAAACCUCUAUAAAUUCAAUUAAACUUGCAAUAAAAUCCAAUUAAGUCCAUAAACAUCCAAUUUUGAACUUUUCUCUUCAAAUUGAAUUUUUUUCUUUUCCAACUGGGCUUUCAUCAUUCAAGGAUACACUGUCAAAAUUUCAAUCUUUGUAUUUUUAACCUCCUAUUAUUUUUUUAUUUUUUUAAUUUCUUCCGGCUAUAUAUAUAUAUAUAUAUUUAUUAUUAUUAUUAUUUAUUACUUUUAUUAUUUAUUUUGAUUUUUAUUAUUUUUGUUAUUAUUAUAUUUUUUAUUUAUUUUUAUUUUUAUUUUUAUUUUUGUGUGGGGACCCAAAAAUGGGUUACAACAUCGAUGUUGAAGAUGCACUAUUUACUUUUUCAAAGAGAUGAUUGGAUUAAAAGAAAAAAAAAGAAGAAGGUAAAAUGUAAGGUGAUUUUGAAUUUUAUAUAAAAAGUUUAUCGUGGUUUUUUAUAUAUUUAUUUUUAUAGAUGAUUGGUCCGAAAUUAAAUUUAGAUAUCAAUUUUUUUUUUAGUUUUUUUUUAAGAGGAAAGGACUAUUGGAUUAGUAGAGAGAGAAAAAAUAAUUAUUAACGAUUAUUCUAGCCAUAAAAAAUAAUUAAAAUUGGUGUUAAUAGAUUAUAUUUUUUACAACGAUAUUUAGUUGACGGAUUCGGCGAAAAAACAAACUAUGCGUAGUUUGUUGUCUUCAUUCUCGAGGGUUGGGUUGGAAGGCUUACGUGUUUGUAUUGCUUUUAUUUUUUUUUAUUUUUUGAUAUUUUAUAUUUUAAUUAAAAAAUUAAUAAAAAAUUUAUUAAAUUCAAUCAAAUUCAUGAGGAGUUUCUGCUUCUCAAAAAAAAAAAAAAAAUCAUCUCUUAUUAAUGAUGAUCUAUUUUUUUAACUCCAACUUAAAAUAGUGCAAUUUUAAUUUUACUAUUAUUAUCAAUAAUAUACUUUUGCUAUAUUAGCACCACGUCCCUAUCAUGAUUUUUUUACUUAACAAAAAAUAUUUCAUACAAAAAAAUUAUCAUGUGCUUUAUUGUUUUUAUUGUUAUGUAAUUAAAUGAAAAAUAAUUUUUGGAAUCAAAAAAUUAUUGAAUUUGAUGACUAACAUGAUUUGCUUUGUGAGUUUGACUGGCCGAGUCGAGUUGAUUUAAGUUUUUAAAUUAAAUACUAUUUUUUUAACCGAUUUUGUUCUUCAACAUUGAGUUAAUUUAAGAUUAAGCUUUUAAUUUGUUUUUUUAUUUUAUUUUUCAGAUUAUCCCUACAACUUUUAUAUCACAUCCAUGUUAAUUUAGGUAAAUCAAAUAUUUUUUUUUAUCUUAAUAUUAAAUAAAAAUAUCGUUCAAUUCAUAAUUAAAAUCUAGUUUUUUAGAAGACACAUCACUAAUAUUUAAAUAAUUUUUUUGUUUUUAAUUUAAAAUCUGCUCCAAACCCACGGCAUAGGGCGGUAGUUCAAAGCUCCGUAAAAGGAAUUCACAAGUUAGAGCAAAUAUUUGGAGUAAUUAUUCAUAAUCUUUCGUAAAAUAGGUAAACCAAUUUAUUUUCUGAUCACAGUCCAUGUCGUUUCCAUAUCAACAUUAUGCAUCACGAGUCAUUUUUGCUUUUUUUGAACCCCUUGCAACUAAAGUUAUUAAAUUGGAUAUGCUAAUAACUUAUUUUAAGAUUUGGACUAAACAAGUUAAUUUAAAUUGUUUUUAUUAAUUAAAAUAAUAUUAUUUAAUUUAUUUUUUAAAAUUAAAUUAAGUUUGAAACUAAUUCAAUCAUGUGAUAAUUUGAUCCAUCAUAUAGUUUAACUAAGUUAAUUAUCAUCUACUUUUUUAAAAAAUUAACUUGAUUCAGGUUUAAUAAUAAUUAUCAAAACUUGAGAACUGUUUUUUCCUUAAGUUUUACUUAUUUAUUUAUCUUUUUAGUGAUAUAUAAAUCGUUAAAAAAUAAUAUAAAUUAUAUCCUGGAAUUUUGCCUAACCGAUUAAGCUAUUAAGUUAAGAUGGUUUUUUGAUAUAGUAUCAGAGCGUUGAUGAUCAAGCGGUCACGAGUUCGAAUCUCACCAUCCCUAUUUAUUUAAUAAAAAUCAAACACAAGAUAAUAUGAGUUUGUGCAAGUUUCAAGUCCAAAUGACUUUUAUUUGAGGAGGUGUCAAUUUAAACUAUUAAAUUGAAAUAAUUUUUUUGAAACGGAAGGAUUCACAAUUAUUGUGUUCAUGAUGUGAUCCUAUACUUUUUCCUGUUUUUGAGUAGAUGACUAGAUAAAAUUUAUUUAAAAAAAAAAAUCAAAACGACAUUGUUUUAGUAAAAAAGAAAACAAAAAAAAUAAAAGCCAAUAAGUUUGUGGCCGGGUCUUUACCAGAUCUUUCCAGGUCAGCCGGAUCACACCAAAUUUUUCCUUUCUUUAUUUUUUUUUCAACCCGGUCCGGUUUCGUUCCCGGAUCGACCUACCAGGUCAUCAGGUUUCAAAACUAUGUCGAAGGUUACCACCUUUGGUUUUUUAUCUCUAUUUUUUAAAUGACCAAGUUGUAUUCCAAUAAUUAAAGGGGAAAUAGAGACCACUUGUCUUAUAAAAAAUACCGUUGGCUUUUGCUGGUUUCCUCACUCAAAACCACCACGAAGAAGCCUUGAGCCUCUGGUUUUUCUCCUACAAUUUUGGUACACACUCACCUAUAUAACCAAACCCCUUUACUCCCAUUUACUUCAUCAAAUCAUAACUCCUGAUAUCUUAAUCUCUCCAAAUCCCACUUCAAAGAGUUUCCAGCUCGUUGGUUCUAUAUUACAGUAACACAGAAAAUGAGUUCAGCAAGCAAAGCUUGGUUGGUUGCAGCAGCUGUUGGAGGAGUCGAGGCCUUGAAAGACCAAGGGUUCUGUAGGUGGAACUAUACCUUGAGAUCGCUACACCAACAUGCCAAGAACCAUGUCAGAUCAGCCUCUCAGGCCAAGAAGCUUUCUUCUUCAUCUUCUGCUAUGAUCUCGAAUAAAAUCAAGGAAGUGAAAGCAAAACAGUCUGAGGAAUCUCUAAGAAAAGUCAUGUAUUCGAGCUGUUGGGGUCCUUACUAAGCAAAGAAGCUAGAACAGAUUGAGGAAGUUAUCGUGAUAGGAUUAUCCUGAUUGUUGCAAGUUGAUGUAAAUUGAUUCGUAAAUAUUGUUGCUGAC